This 253-nucleotide ribosomal RNA is filed under the name uncultured bacterium. Its description in RNAcentral is "partial 16S ribosomal RNA". It matches the Rfam family "Bacterial small subunit ribosomal RNA", at positions 524 to 776 of the family's 1533-position model. The record is from RNAcentral.
UACGGGGGGGGCAAGCGUUGUUCGGAAUUACUGGGCGUAAAGGGCUCGUAGGCGGCCAACUAAGUCGGAUGUGAAAUCCCCAGGCUUAACCUGGGAACUGCAUCCGAUACUGGAUGGCUUGAAUUCGGGAGAGGGAUGCAGAAUUCCAGGUGUAGCGGUGAAAUGCGUAGAUAUCUGGAGGAAUACCGGUGGCGAAGGCGGUUCUCUGGGCAUUACCUGACGCUGAGGAGCGAAAGUGUGGGGAGCGAACAGG